Molecule: ribosomal RNA, 287 nt
Filed under: Lecithophyllum botryophorum
Lineage: Eukaryota; Metazoa; Platyhelminthes; Trematoda
Description: partial small subunit ribosomal RNA
Rfam family: Eukaryotic small subunit ribosomal RNA (bases 167-287)
Source: RNAcentral
UCUGGGUCGCAUGGUUACUCGCCGUGGGUUGCNUCUUUCAUCGUUCAUGGUGUUGUGGCUUCCCGGUGGUGUAGUCGUGUAACCUUUCUGCCGUGUCUGUUUAAUACAGGUGCCGNNUUCGGCUGGCAUGCUUUCGGGUGCUCUUAAUUGGGUGCCCGGAGCGGACGGCACGUUUACUUUGAACAAAUUUGAGUGCUCNNNGCAGGCCGUAGAGCCUGAAAAGUCUUGCAUGGAAUAANNAAAUAGGACUUCGGUUCUAUUUUGUUGGUUUUCGGAUCCGAAGUAAU